Molecule: ribosomal RNA, 431 nt
Filed under: Tylosurus crocodilus crocodilus (hound needlefish)
Lineage: Eukaryota; Metazoa; Chordata; Actinopteri; Beloniformes; Belonidae
Description: partial 12S ribosomal RNA
Rfam family: Bacterial small subunit ribosomal RNA
Source: RNAcentral
GGGAUUAGAUACCCCACUAUGCACAGCCCUAAACUUUGAUAGAAACAUUACAUCCACUAUCCGCCAGGGUACUACGAGCUCUAGCUUAAAAUCCAAAGGACUUGGCGGUGCUUUAGACCCACCUAGAGGAGCCUGUUCUAGAACCGACAACCCCCGUUCAACCUCACCCUCCCUUGUCCAUUCCGCCUAUAUACCGCCGUCGUCAGCUUACCCCAUGAAGGAUUCAUAGUAAGCAAAACCAGUAUAACUUAAAACGCCAGGUCGAGGUGUAGCGCAUGAGAGGGGAAGAAAUGGGCUACAUUCCCUAAACCAGGGCAUACGGAAAAUACAAUGAAAUACGUAUUAGAAGGAGGAUUUAGCAGUAAGCAGAAAACAGAGUGUUCUACUGAAACUGGCCCUGAAGCGCGCACACACCGCCCGUCACCCCUUAA